RNAcentral lists this ribosomal RNA (395 nucleotides) under uncultured bacterium. RNAcentral's name for it is "partial 16S ribosomal RNA". It matches the Rfam family "Bacterial small subunit ribosomal RNA", at positions 338 to 731 of the family's 1533-position model. The record is from RNAcentral.
CCUACGGGUGACAGCAGUGAGGAAUAUUGGUCAAUGGACGCGAGCCUGAACCAGCCAUGCCGCGUGAGGGAAGACGGUACAACGUGUCGUAAACCGCUUUUGUCAGGGAACAAAGGCAGGGACUAGUACCCGGCUGAGGGUACCGUAAGAAAAAGCAUCGGCUAACUCCGUGCCAGCAGCCGCGGUAAUACGGAGGAUUCAAGCGUUAUCCGGAUUUAUUGGGUUUAAAGGGUGCGCAGGCGUCCGGUAAAGUCAGGGGUAAAAUCCCGGGGCUCAACCCCGGCUAGCCGUUGAAACUGGGGGGCUGGAGAUGGGGAGCAGUAGGCGGAAUGCGCGGUGUAGCGGUGAAAUGCUUAGAGAUCGCACAGAACACCGAUUGCGAAGGCAGCUUACCG